GGGCGCGUAGCUUAAUUCGGCAGAGCACUGACCCUUACCAAGUGAGAGAUGCCCGUUCGAAUCGGGUCGCGUCCA
RNAcentral lists this transfer RNA (75 nucleotides) under Terriglobia bacterium. Its description in RNAcentral is "tRNA-Gly". It matches the Rfam family "tRNA". Rfam says of the family: Transfer RNA (tRNA) molecules are approximately 80 nucleotides in length. Their secondary structure includes four short double-helical elements and three loops (D, anti-codon, and T loops). Lineage: Bacteria; Pseudomonadati; Acidobacteriota; Terriglobia. The record is from RNAcentral.